This 161-nucleotide ribosomal RNA is filed under the name uncultured bacterium. RNAcentral describes it as "partial 16S rRNA". It matches the Rfam family "Bacterial small subunit ribosomal RNA", at positions 358 to 511 of the family's 1533-position model. The record is from RNAcentral.
GGAAUCUUCCACAAUGGGCGAAAGCCUGAUGGAGCAACGCCGCGUGUGUGAUGAAGGGUUUCGGCUCGUAAAACACUGUUGUAAGAGAAGAAUGACAUUGAGAGUAACUGUUCAAUGUGUGACGGUAUCUUACUAGAAAGGAACGGCUAAAUACGUGCCAG